This is a long non-coding RNA of Engraulis encrasicolus (European anchovy), 1161 nucleotides long. RefSeq lists it as uncharacterized. The record is from RefSeq and is a predicted model, not a curated record. Lineage: Eukaryota; Metazoa; Chordata; Actinopteri; Clupeiformes; Engraulidae. The transcript is spliced from 3 exons.
UGUUGAAGAAAGAGGGGGCAUCAAUUUCAAAACUCUUUUUUAUUUCUUAACUGUCACUGUCAACGGGUCCUGUUGCUAAAGGGUGGAAUAGCCUAGGCCUGUGACUAGUUAUGUGCAACAUUUUUUUUUCAGUUUUAGUAUUUCCCUCCCUCUUGUUUACAUAGCGAUGUAGUGUAAAUGGUUUGUAAAGGGAAGGGCUAGUGAUGAUGACACCCGUGAACGACUUCGGCUCGUAGUUCUCCAUUCACAAUCAUUUCAGCUGGGCCGUUGCUUCAAAAGUUGCCUGCGCUGAGCAAGGGGUGGGUGUGACCAACUGCGCAAGGGGAAAGCCACGGUCCACACUCACACACACCGCCCGUCAUGCUAUGAAUGACUCAAGUACAGGGCCAGUCAACGAAAAAGAAACCAAGUUUUCAAGAAAAAAAUGACGAGGAUAAGAGAAACGAGAGCCGAAAACCGUAGUGUUUCUCACUGCAGUCUGCACUACGUUUUCCAUUAUGAACAAAAGUUGACAAGACCACUGCAGAAAGUUUAACCAGCGCUUUUUUGCAGCCAGAUUGAACGUUGGGAGCGUCUCUGCACUGGUUGCUGCAACUGGUGAUGGCUGUCAGGCGGUCAGACGAGGCGACUGGUUCAGAGCUGUCGGUCAUGGCAGAAGGUCAACGCGUCCUUCACGGCGGCCGACAGCGAUCAUGACCAGGACCCCUGGACCCUGACCUCUGAGCCCUGAGGAGGGCGAUCAGCCUCAGGUCAGACUAGAUGCCUGGAACACCCAGUAUUUGGGUUUAGCUUUCAUGACGUGUUUAUUUUCUAACGCAGUUUUCACUUCACAUUUUUUCCCCCUGUCCUUGACUGAUCGUUAGAAAUAAAUACACAAAAAUUGUAAUGGUGUUUAAAAUAUGAUAUAUAGAAAGAAAAAUGUCUGCACACUUAAAUCCUCUGUGAAAACAAAGAGGAUUUAAGUGUGCAGACAUUUUUCUUUCUACUUUGCACAGUUUGGUUUAUGUUUGGCACCUUUCAAUCGAGAGUGUGGUGUGAUUUGGUUGAAUAUACAAUAUGAUUUAUGAAAUACUGUAUAUGAUACAAGAUAUAAUUCCCAUGGAAUGACAAACUUGUAAGUGUAAUUUAUGGAAAUGAAAAUAAAUGAAACUUAGAACUUAA